RNAcentral lists this ribosomal RNA (223 nucleotides) under uncultured bacterium. RNAcentral describes it as "partial 16S ribosomal RNA". It matches the Rfam family "Bacterial small subunit ribosomal RNA", at positions 328 to 539 of the family's 1533-position model. The record is from RNAcentral.
ACGCUCGACACCUACGGAGGCAGCAGUAGGGAAUCUUCCACAAUGGACGCAAGUCUGAUGGAGCAACGCCGCGUGAGUGAAGAAGGUCUUCGGAUCGUAAAACUCUGUUGUUAGAGAAGAACACGAGUGAGAGUAACUGUUCAUUCGAUGACGGUAUCUAACCAGCAAGUCACGGCCUAACUACGUGCUAGCAGCCGCGGUAAUCUGAGCGGGCUGGCAAGGC